CCUACGGGGGGCAGCAGUGAGGAAUAUUGGUCAAUGGACGAGAGUCUGACCCAGCCAAGUAGCGUGAGGGAUGACUGCCCUAUGGGUUGUAAACUUCUUUUAUAUGGGAAUAAAACGUUUCACGUGUGGGAUUUUGUAUGUACCAUAUGAAUAAGGAUCGGCUAAAUCCGUGCCAGGAGCCGCGGUACUACGGAGGAUCCGAGCGGUAUCCGGAUUUAUUUGGUUUAAAGGGAGCGUAGGUGGAUUUUUAAUUCAGUUGUGAAAGUCUGCGGCUCAAGCGUAAAAUUGCAGUUGAAUCUGGCAGUCUUGAGUACAGUAGAGGUAGGCGGAAUUCGUGGUGUAGCGGUGAAAUGCUUAGAUAUCACGAAGAACUCCGAUUGCGAAGGCAGUUCACUGGACUGCAACUGACGCUGAGGCUCGAAAGUGUGGGGAUCAAACAGGAUUAGAUACCCGAGUAGUC
RNAcentral lists this ribosomal RNA (460 nucleotides) under uncultured bacterium. Its description in RNAcentral is "partial 16S ribosomal RNA". It matches the Rfam family "Bacterial small subunit ribosomal RNA", at positions 338 to 795 of the family's 1533-position model. The record is from RNAcentral.